This 492-nucleotide ribosomal RNA is filed under the name uncultured bacterium. RNAcentral describes it as "partial 16S ribosomal RNA". It matches the Rfam family "Bacterial small subunit ribosomal RNA", at positions 29 to 507 of the family's 1533-position model. The record is from RNAcentral.
AGUGAACGCUGGCGGCAUGCCUAACACAUGCAAGUCGAACGGCAGCACAGUAAGAGCUUGCUCUUAGGGGUGGAGAGCGGCGGAAGGGUGCGGAAUGCACCGGAUACUACUUUGUCGGGGGGGAUAACGUAGGGUAAUGUCUGCUAAUACCGCAUUCAUCGUCCGGGGGAAAGCAGGGGUUCGUUGGACUUUUCGGGAUUGUAUGAGCCGAUGUCGGAUUAGGUAGAUGGCGGGGCUGAGGCCAACCAAGGCGACGAUCCGUAGCUGGUCUGAGAGGGUGAUCAGCCACACUGGAACAGAGACACGGUCCAGACUCCUACGGGAGGCAGCAGUGGAGAAUAUUAGGCGAGGGGCGCGAGCCUGAUCCAGGCAUACCGCGGGGGUGAAGAAGGCCUUCGGGUUGUAAAGCCCUUUUGUUGGGAAAGAAAAGCAGCUGGUUUACACCCCGCUGUUCUGACGGUACCCAAAGAAUAAGCACCGGCUAACUUCGUG